RNAcentral lists this ribosomal RNA (332 nucleotides) under uncultured bacterium. RNAcentral's name for it is "bacterial SSU rRNA". It matches the Rfam family "Bacterial small subunit ribosomal RNA", at positions 568 to 898 of the family's 1533-position model. The record is from RNAcentral.
CGUGUAGGCGGGGAUGCAAGUCUGAUGUGAAAGCCCCGGGCUUAACCUGGGAAGUGCAUUGGAAACUGCAUUUCUUGAGUACUGGAGAGGAAGGGGGAAUUCCCGGUGUAGAGGUGAAAUUCGUAGAGAUCGGGAGGAAUACCAGUGGCGUAGGCGCCCUUCUGGACGGUUACUGACGCUGAGACGCGAAAGCGUGGGGAGCAAACAGGAUUAGAUACCCUGGUAGUCCACGCUGUAAACGAUGAUCACUAGGUGUAGCGGGUACUCAUUCCUGCUGUGCCGCAGCUAACGCGUUAAGUGAUCCGCCUGGGGAUUACGGUCGCAAGACUAAA